GUCAAUGAUGAUUAUGUUUAUCCAUUCGCUGAGUACGCUGCACUGACCUUCUUCCCAGUCUCAGUUCCUGUUCUGGGAACUUGUGGCUGAGUAGGCUCCAAAUGCCCUGCUGUCUGCAGUGUUCUGGAGGGCUUUUGAAAACAUGUAGAUUUAGAAUUUCUGAGGAGUUGUGCAAUUUCAUUUC
Molecule: small nucleolar RNA, 184 nt
Organism: Arvicola amphibius (Eurasian water vole)
Lineage: Eukaryota; Metazoa; Chordata; Mammalia; Rodentia; Cricetidae
Product: small nucleolar RNA SNORD17
Exons: 1
Source: RefSeq, a predicted model, not a curated record